This is a long non-coding RNA of Paramacrobiotus metropolitanus, 2558 nucleotides long. RefSeq lists it as uncharacterized. The transcript has 4 exons. The record is from RefSeq and is a predicted model, not a curated record. Lineage: Eukaryota; Metazoa; Tardigrada; Eutardigrada; Parachela; Macrobiotidae.
UUCCUCACCAGGCGACGGUAGGCGCAUCAUUUCCAGUGGAAAUUUUCCACUGAAAGACUCGCCGGAUGUUCAACUGCUCAUCUCAUUGUAUUUAUCAUUGUUUUUAUUCUACAAUUUGCUUCAUCGCGAUUCAGGAACGCCGUGUCUCUAUCCACCUAUAAAUCCUCAUUCCCUUGUUUCCGUUUCCUACUCUAAUAUUGCUCAUAAUAUUAAAGGCAGUGCAUUAAUAUUACAGGGAGGAGCAUAUUGCUCAACCUGCCGCUACACGGUUAACAGAGUUCAGUUAUGUCAUACUAUUUGAAUUAACUGCAGAUUAAGCUGCCCGUUGCUAGGCACCUUACAUGACGAUGUUCAAAAACAACUCUGUAUGGUGUUAUGGUGCCGUUGACGUGAAGGAUGACGACGGACUCUUCCGCCAUGGUCGGAUAGUUGAUAUGGACGUCUCCAAAGGUUUUAUCAUUGAUUUCGAUUAUCCCAACCACCAUGCUGAACUAAUCCCUUUUCACCGGUGUUUUGGAAAGAUUUCCCACGAUCUCUUCGCUGCGGGGAACAUGGUACAAUAUUUGUGGCGUGGUUCAGUCAACGAGGCCUAUCGGUGGUACCCGGCGAAAGUGAUUGCGGGUUCGUCUUACACUGUCCCUUUUAUCGAGACCCAACGGCACGGCGAAAUCGUAAAAGAAGUGGUGGGUUGCUCAUGGGUCAUGCCAUUAGGAGAACGACCCCCGGUGAAGCUGCAGCAUUAUAACCGCCACUGCUCAUCAGCCGGCUGGGUAGCUGCAGUCCUUGGACAGGCGCGCAGUCGUGAGGAUUUGCAGUGGUGGAAUCGGGAGAAAGGGAUUAGGAGCACAACCAUACUCGUCAAGCUGGAGAGAGGAAAACUGAUCUAUAUUAGAUACUAUGAUUGGGAAUACGGAUGGCGCUUUUGGGACUCGCUGCAACUAUUUCGAAUGAUGAAGGCUAAACGGAAAACAGUCAAGGAAAUGAAGAGUGGUAGAAAAUCCGAAAAAAGCGGACGCGGGAAGCUUUUCUUGUCCAAACCCUGCCUGGCAAGUGGCAACACUGUAUUUAAUUAAUGCCUGCAGGCAGAAAACGCUGCUUCGCAGGUGACCUUUCGUUCCGCGAUGUGAUCGGACGACGCCAUGGCGGAAUGUUAUACAAUACGUCCGCGGCAAUUUAAUUUACUUCAAGAACUGCACGAGUGAUUUGUCCAAAAUCUGGUAUAAACUGCUUGGUUCUACUAGGCUUUCAAAUCGUCAACGCUGUACCAUUACCAACCGAGUAUAAACAAGUCUCUACCAGCGGAAACCUUUCGACAGAUAUUCUCCUUUCUGGAAUUUCCGGACCAGCUGAAUUGCCGGAAAGUCUGCAGUUCGUGGCACAUCUUAUUGACCAGCGCUCCCACGUGUUUGCAGUUGGCAUUCAACGUGCAGAAAUACGGGAUAGAGGCACUAGCGUUUGCUUUUGAUAGGAAUAUCAGCCCAUCUACGAGACAAAUUAUAUUAUCGGGUAAAGGCAGGCCCUCUUACCGCUCUUUUAAUCCCACCGCCAUUCUUACUGACCUACUGAAAGCAAAAAGCAUCAGAGUUCAGACAGUCACUAUUUCGGAUUGGAACAUCUGGGCACCGGAUGUCUUCAGCUGGUCCAGCUCGUUAACGCUGCAAAUUCGAUCCGUUUGGCAGGAUAUAUGUGACAAACUAAUCCUGAAGAAUGUCCAGAUCAAAGGACUGAUGUUCGUGGACGGCGAGUCGUGCAAUUGUGUCCGGCAAGGUUGUGUUGGAUGUUAUCAGGACAGGUUUUGUGCACCAGGCUGGCCUGACUUGGAUGCCACGAUUAAAAUAGAUGAACACGUCAUCAUUACCAAUCACAACGGACCAAUGCAGGCUGUAAGGCAAUGGCUGGAGGAACACUGCCAACCGAUGAGCGUGGAGGGUCUCCGAAUGUUGCAAAGCCGAGUGGAUACGUAUUCUGUACCGAAAAAGGUCAUGUUACAGAUUUUCAAGCAAUGGCAAGCAGAGGAUGUACGUCUCACUGGCAACCUGAGCGAUCCGUUGGUUACUCUACCCAUCCAUACUUUACGAAAGAUUACCUUGUUCGCACUGCGAUGGUAUCUGGAAAGAAGUUGGGGAAGAUCUUGUAUACAUCUGCAGUGAAUAAAGGCACAGAAAACUGGUUUCAGGCUCGCGGCACAAACAGCUUUGGACAAUGAGCCCAUUGAUUUAUUUGCCUUUGGUUUGGCGCUGUCAGCGAAGCCAUGCUUCCUUGAUACUGCUUGUGUCUUACUGCAAGAAUAUGAAUUCUGUGCUGCAUCUUCUGUUAGCUAAUUCUCUAGAGGAUUAACUAAAUUUUUGUCAAGGUAGAAGGUACAUGGCAAUGAAAGUUGAAUUUUCCUGGGCACAUUUUCAUUGGAAAGACUAGCAAAAACCAUGGAAAACAUACCGCGGAACAUAUGACAGGCACAGCAGUUAGAUGAUACUCGUGUACUCGUAUACAUAUACUGUACGUGAGUACAGCGUAUCUGUGCGGCUGCCGUUUAACUGGGUGCUAGUUUAUCAACUGUG